GAUGAACGCUGGCGGCGUGCUUAACACAUGCAAGUCGAACGAAGCACUUAUCUUUGAUUCUUCGGAUGAAGAGGUUUGUGACUGAGUGGCGGACGGGUGAGUAACGCGUGGGUAACCUGCCUCAUACAGGGGGAUAACAGUUAGAAAUGACUGCUAAUACCGCAUAAGACCACAGAGCCGCAUGGCUCGGUGGGAAAAACUCCGGUGGUAUGAGAUGGACCCGCGUCUGAUUAGGUAGUUGGUGGGGUAACGGCCUACCAAGCCAACGAUCAGUAGCCGACCUGAGAGGGUGACCGGCCACAUUGGGACUGAGACACGGCCCAAACUCCUACGGGAGGCAGCAGUGGGGAAUAUUGCACAAUGGGGGAAACCCUGAUGCAGCGACGCCGCGUGAGCGAAGAAGUAUUUCGGUAUGUAAAGCUCUAUCAGCAGGGAAGAAAAUGACGGUACCUGACUAAGAAGCACCGGCUAAAUACGUGCCAGCAGCCGCGGUAAUACGUAUGGUGCAAGCGUUAUCCGGAUUUACUGGGUGUAAAGGGAGCGUAGACGGCUGUGUAAGUCUGAAGUGAAAGCCCGGGGCUCAACCCCGGGACUGCUUUGGAAACUAUGCAGCUAGAGUGUCGGAGAGGUAAGUGGAAUUCCCAGUGUAGCGGUGAAAUGCGUAGAUAUUGGGAGGAACACCAGUGGCGAAGGCGGCUUACUGGACGAUGACUGACGUUGAGGCUCGAAAGCGUGGAGAGCAAACAGGAUUAGAUACCCUGGUAGUCCACGCCGUAAACGAAGACUACUAGGUGUCGGGGAGCAAAGCUCUUCGGUGCCGCCAGCAAACGCAAUAAGUAGUCCACCUGGGGAGUACGUUCGCAAGAAUGAAACUCAAAGGAAUUGACGGGGAGCCGCACAAGCGGUGGAGCAUGUGGUUUAAUUCGAAGCAACGCGAAGAACCUUACCUGCUCUUGACAUCCCGGUGACCGGCAUGUAAUGAUGCCUUUUCUUCGGAACACCGGUGACAGGUGGUGCAUGGUUGUCGUCAGCUCGUGUCGUGAGAUGUUGGGUUAAGUCCCGCAACGAGCGCAACCCUUAUCUUCAGUAGCCAGCAAUUCGGAUGGGCACUCUGGAGAGACUGCCAGGGAUAACCUGGAGGAAGGUGGGGAUGACGUCAAAUCAUCAUGCCCCUUAUGAGCAGGGCUACACACGUGCUACAAUGGCGUAAACAAAGGGAAGCGAGCCUGCGAGGGUAAGCAAAUCUCAAAAAUAACGUCUCAGUUCGGAUUGUAGUCUGCAACUCGACUACAUGAAGCUGGAAUCGCUAGUAAUCGCGAAUCAGCAUGUCGCGGCGAAUACAAACCCGGGUCUUGCACUCCCCGCCCGUCAAGGG
This 1375-nucleotide ribosomal RNA is filed under the name uncultured bacterium. RNAcentral describes it as "bacterial SSU rRNA". It matches the Rfam family "Bacterial small subunit ribosomal RNA", at positions 28 to 1403 of the family's 1533-position model. The record is from RNAcentral.